UAUUUCUAAGAUGACUCCAUGAAAUUCAAGCUCAACAGACCGGAAUGCAGUGUUUUUUUCUCUCUCUUGAGAUUGCUUUGCGUGUUAAACACCCUGCUAACCUGACCGAUC
Small nucleolar RNA from Arachis stenosperma, 111 nucleotides. RefSeq annotates it as small nucleolar RNA Z107/R87. The transcript has a single exon. NCBI's taxonomy places the organism in Eukaryota, Viridiplantae, Streptophyta, Magnoliopsida, Fabales, Fabaceae. The record is from RefSeq and is a predicted model, not a curated record.